CUCAUCUUUUCUUUCCUUUCUUCUCAUGAAGGCCGAAGCUUGCUAAGGAAAAAGGGCAAGGAAGUUCUUGAAGAUUUAGGCAAAACUAGUAAAAUUCUAUCAUACAAAACUUAUAGCUUUAGGUCUUGUAAUCCUAAAUCUCCAUUCUUUUCACCUUGGAAAGUUUUAUAUCUUGAGUUAGCCUUCUAUAAAGCGGGCUGCUACUGUUCAUCCAAGGUGUAGAAGUUGGGUUUUCUUCAAGUCCUUAAGUUGGAAUAUGCUGUUUAUGUUCAAGUGAAGCUAUUUAAGAGUGUAAUCGGACGAAGUAGGUGGACGAACAACUUGUAGACAACCAAGUUACGGUGUAUUAAAUAGCAAGUUAGCAGCAGGAAAGAUGUGACAGGAAGUGGACUCUUGGGUGGAGACUGCUCUAUAAACCCCAAGUUUAUUGAGAUUCAUUCUCACCCCGCGUUAUGGGGACAUAUUUCAGGUAUCGCAGCAGUUGACGAUCGUUCUCGGGGCAAGAGGCCCGUGGUUGAUGAGUAGAUCUGAGCAUAGAGGUUGCCUGCUUAUUUUGGGAGUCUGUAGUAUUUAUAUGUUACACUGUAAUCUGGUUAUUUGAUAUUUUGCCGAUGCAUGGUUAUUAGCUGGGCUUUCUAAGAGGCUAUACGCCUGUGUACAGAUGUUAUUUGUGAUACUGUGAUGUAUUAUGUUUAUGUAGGUUGAUGUAGGAUGUUGUAGUUAGGGCACAAAGCCACCUUUUUGAUGUGAUAUAUAUAGUGUUAUGGAUCAUUUCUGCAUGCUACUG
Gastrolobium bilobum is the source of this 787-nucleotide long non-coding RNA. RefSeq lists it as uncharacterized. The record is from RefSeq and is a predicted model, not a curated record. The transcript has 3 exons. NCBI's taxonomy places the organism in Eukaryota, Viridiplantae, Streptophyta, Magnoliopsida, Fabales, Fabaceae.